UACGAGGGGGGCAAGCGUUGUUCGGAAUUAUUGGGCGUAAAGGGCGCGUAGGCGGUGCGGUAAGUCACCUGUGAAAUCUCUGGGCUCAACUCAGAGUCUGCAGGCGAAACUGCCGUGCUGGAGUAUGGGAGAGGUGCGCGGAAUUCCCGGUGUAGCGGUGAAAUGCGCAGAUAUCAGGAGGAACACCAAUGGCGAAGGCAGCACUCUGGGACGUGACUGACGCUGAGACGCGAAAGCGUGGGGAGCAAACAGG
RNAcentral lists this ribosomal RNA (253 nucleotides) under uncultured bacterium. RNAcentral's name for it is "partial 16S ribosomal RNA". It matches the Rfam family "Bacterial small subunit ribosomal RNA", at positions 524 to 776 of the family's 1533-position model. The record is from RNAcentral.